GAUUAAAGAGCAAAUUUGUCCUUUCUGUUAAAAAUUCCAUGGCUAACAGAAUAAUUAGACAGUGACACGUGCCAUGUCGCAUGUACCUUAUGCUGAUGUACAAAAAUCAGUUUUUAAUAGCAAAAAUGGAUGGAAUUUUUAAUA
This is a non-coding RNA of Gossypium hirsutum (cotton), 144 nucleotides long. Lineage: Eukaryota; Viridiplantae; Streptophyta; Magnoliopsida; Malvales; Malvaceae. The record is from Rfam.